Long non-coding RNA from Nicotiana attenuata, 1137 nucleotides. RefSeq lists it as uncharacterized. The transcript is spliced from 2 exons. The record is from RefSeq and is a predicted model, not a curated record. NCBI's taxonomy places the organism in Eukaryota, Viridiplantae, Streptophyta, Magnoliopsida, Solanales, Solanaceae.
UCCCAUUAACCAAAAAAGCCCAAACCUCCCUUACCCUUUAACAAAACCUAAGACUUCAUUCUAAAAAGAACCCCAUCCCCAGCUGUUUUCCAGGACCAUCAGCGACAGACCCCUCCCCCCUCCAAUCGGCUCUUCUUCAACAUCAACACAAGACAUAAGAACAAAACCUAGAGAUCAACCUAAUCUCCUACAGGAGACAAAAAGAUAGCCGCAGCAUAACCCCUAAAAACCUCCAUCGCCGCCGCGUCUCCAUCACCUACAAAACAGCGGCCACCUCCUAAAACCAGCAACAUCUGGCCGACCGCCGGCCUCCCCCGUUGUCACACCACCCGCACACCCCACUGAGAUCGACACCUACAGAAAUAGUCGCCUAUUACCUAAAUCAAGAGGCAGCGGCAGACAUCCCUACAAAAAAAAAUAAUAAGCAUAAUUUCUACGCCAAAAGAGAGAUUCUGCCGUGAAAACAUACAAAAAAAAGACAAAAAAAAAAAGCAAAGUAAAAAGAAGACAAAAAAGCGGCGGACAUAUAGAAAUUGGAGACGUUACUCCAUUUCCCAUUUCUAAUGGAUUCCAACUUUGUAUUUAUUUUCUUUCCUUCGGUCUUUUCUCCCGAUAAUCCGUUACAUGCUUUUCUUUAGAAAGAUUUUUGAUUCUCCGAUUUUGGCCUGAUUUGAGUAUCUCCGUCGAGGUUCCGUCGAGGUUGUCGCGUCCAAGGUUUCCGGUCGAUAUUUGAAUAGCAAUCGAGGUGCUAUUUGUAAGAUUUGGUUUAUCGUUCAUCUGUGGGUUAUGUUGUUGAUGUAUGAAGAGGUUCUUGCUUAAGCAAAAUCCGGAGAAAGCUUUGCUACAGAGAAGGUAUGGAUCAGUGUACCGGAGCUUGAGCAUGGCAGAUGCCCCAGGACCAUCCAGUCAGGAUCAUUAUAUUUAUGAAUUGCUUGAGGAUAGAUUUUAUAUUUUGAGUCUGUUUUCAUGUUAUCUUUUAUUUUCUAGUCUUGUACAGUUGUAUCGAGUCUUUUAGUUGGUGUCAGAGCCUGUCAUAGUCUAGUUGAGUUCGUCGAGUCUUUUGUUAUCGUAUUUGCUAUUUUGUAUGUGAAAACCAAAAAAAAUUAAAUGAAAAAUCCAAAAAGAUUUUUUUUAAAA